Homo sapiens (human) is the source of this 752-nucleotide long non-coding RNA. RefSeq lists it as uncharacterized. Lineage: Eukaryota; Metazoa; Chordata; Mammalia; Primates; Hominidae. The record is from RefSeq and is a predicted model, not a curated record. The transcript is spliced from 4 exons.
CCCUCUCCACCGAAGCCCCGCUGAGGCCCCACGCACGCACUCUUCGCAAACGCAGUUCUUCAGCCUUCGCUGAUAGAGAGUUGGCAGACUGCGGAGGGCGUUAGACAGCCCCAAAUCCUGGGCUGCCGGGAGGCAAUAAGAGCAGAAGAUGAAGGGCUUGGAGCCAGGGAUGAGCCUGAGGUCUUAGGGGAGGAUAGAGAACCAGAGAAUGAAAGCCGAGCAGGCUCCUUUAGCUUCUUGGAGAGAAGUGGGUUGAGAUUAGGAUGGAGCUGGCGGGGGCCUUUCUUCUUUAGGUUCAGGGGUUUGCCCAGGAGACCAGGGCUAGGGGUCAAAAAGAGCCAACGCCCAGCAGGCUGCCCUGAGUGCCACGGGGUCAGUCAGGCCCCUGGAAGGAAUGAUCCCGCUAUGGCCAAGUUCUGACGAAGAUGAACAGAGAGGCUCUGAGAGGCUGUCCAGCAGAUGAACACAUUUAACUGCGGACAUUUUUGGAACGUAUAGGAAAGCAUGUAGAACAAUUCAGCUUGAGCCUCACCAGGUCUUCCCAUGGUGCAGGCUCCACAUGCUCUGCCCUGGCCAGGUCUGCAGGGUAAUGGCUGCUCUGAGAAGGGCGAAGUCUGGACACAGACCCAGGCACACAGGGAGGAUGCCACGUGCUGACUGGAGUGAUGCUGCCACACACCAAGGAACCACCAGAAGUGGAGGGAGGCCUGGACAGAUCCUUCCGCAGAGCACAGCCCUGCUGACAUUUUGAU